GAUGAACGCUGGCGGCGUGCCUAAUACAUGCAAGUCGAGCGAACAGACGAGGAGCUUGCUCCUCUGACGUUAGCGGCGGACGGGUGAGUAACACGUGGAUAACCUACCUAUAAGACUGGGAUAACUUCGGGAAACCGGAGCUAAUACCGGAUAAUAUAUUGAACCGCAUGGUUCAAUAGUGAAAGACGGUUUUGCUGUCACUUAUAGAUGGAUCCGCGCCGCAUUAGCUAGUUGGUAAGGUAACGGCUUACCAAGGCGACGAUGCGUAGCCGACCUGAGAGGGUGAUCGGCCACACGGGAACUGAGACACGGUCCAGACUCCUACGGGAGGCAGCAGUAGGGAAUCUUCCGCAAAGGGCGAAAGCCUGACGGAGCAACGCCGCGUGAGUGAUGAAGGUCUUCGGAUCGUAAAACUCUGUUAUUAGGGAAGAACAAAUGUGUAAGUAACUAUGCACGUCUUGACGGUACCUAAUCAGAAAGCCACGGCUAACUACGUG
RNAcentral lists this ribosomal RNA (497 nucleotides) under uncultured bacterium. RNAcentral describes it as "partial 16S ribosomal RNA". It matches the Rfam family "Bacterial small subunit ribosomal RNA", at positions 28 to 507 of the family's 1533-position model. The record is from RNAcentral.